CUCCAGAGCUGUAGUCUCUCUCUCUAGCUCUGCUCAGGUCGAAGGAGCAUCGCGCAGACGGACAGAACCAGACGGACAUUACCAAGUUAUACAAGAAUCAAAUAUGACAAAACCGAAGGCAAUGGGAGACUGUCCCAUUUGCCUGAAAGCACUACAAUUUGUGGCAAAGCAUCUAAGGGAGAUCCAUUCCCUCCACAACAACCGGGAGAGGGGCAUCCUAAACUUCCUGGCCACAGGCAGGACUUUGAUCCCCGCCAGACCCUGCUCCCUUCCCGGAUGUUCGCCCCAUCUCCUCUGCGUGGAGAAACAUCUUAGGACUCAUAAUGAGCUUCGCAAGGGAAACGUGAAUCGGGAGAUCAAGGCCCUCAAGCGUGCCACAGCCAUAAAACAGCUGGCGGCCUUGAGGGCCACUGAUCCCCAUCCACCCAUCGUAAGCACGCUCGACCAGACGGAGGACCAGCAGUCUGACCCGGAGGCGGGAGUAAGCAUGUGCAAGAAGCGCACUUGCGUCAAUGCCCGCCUCCGGGUCCGUGAGCAAGAAAGGGAGCUGGCAGACCUCCGUACUAGGUUGGUCCAGCUCCAGGCCAAGCGCCGGCCUCGACGUGCCUCGACAUUCCUCAUCAUGUGUUGCAUCUUUACAGACACUUACCUUGAGGAGUAUGCAAAAUACCUUUUCUGCCCGGAAGGGACAAAGAAGAUGAAAGAACAGCGUGUCGAAGGCCAGCCGAGCAAAGGUGUUCCUCAAAUUCUUGACGCUCGACUGGCCUUCGAUCAAAUAUUGGACAUGGCAAUUUAUCUUUAAUAUCCCCCUCAUAAAGACCGGAUAUGAAAGCGGCGGCCCCCAGGGACCCAAAGACCCACUGCAGAUUAUUUGGGUACCUGGUGGCCUACCUCUCAUCAAUUUACGGGCACAGGUCGGGGGUGCUGACCAGAAUGAGAGUGAAGGAGGUCCAGGACGCCAUCGGGGACAGUGAGAAGGGCUACCUCAUUAAUGCAAGUAUCCUUUUACUCACCUUGGGUCCUUUUCUACAGGCCCCAAGUUGAGGGGGGGGGGGGGGGGGGGGGGGGGGGGUGGCUCUGUUGCACACUUACGAAUUGGCUGACAUCUCUGCCUCCUGUCUUUGUCUUCUGCAGCUCAUGGAGCACAAGACCGUGAGGAAGUUUGGGGUGGCCCAGGUCUAUUUGGAGUCAGACGAGUACGGGUGGUGCAGGGAGUGGCUCUGCCUGCGGCUGCCCUCCCUGCCCCAGAACUCGUACUUUUUCACGUCCUUUGGAAGGGGGGAGCCAAAGGACCUCAUAAAGUACUUCCGUCAAGCUUGGGGGGAGAUGGGCCUCCCCGGGUCUCCAAGCUUGACGGACAUCCGUUCAGCCGUGGCCACAUACGUGAGUAUCAAAAACACGUGAUAAGGAAUUGGUCAAUUUGGUGCAUUUUGCUUCCGUUACGCACAUUCGAUGCAAACACAUUCUUGUUUGUAAUUGCCCCUCUUUUUCUUUGUUUGUAGAACUUGGAGACCAACCACUCAGAGGUCCGCAGGAACAUGAGUGAAUUCAUGUGCCACGACGUCCACACUUGUGGAGCGCAUAAAAGCGCUCCACAAGACAUUGCCACGGGCCAAGCAGAUGAGGGACCUCUUCGUCUGCUUGGCCCAGCAGGAGCCUUCACCCGCUCCUGCUGGCUCCUCCUCCCCCGCUCCUGCUGGCUCCUCCUCCCCCGCUCCUGCUGGCUCCUCCUCCCCCGUUCCUGCUGGCUCCUCCUCCCCCGCUCCUGCUGGCUCCUCCUCCUCCUCCUCCACUCGUGCUGGCUCUAUUAAGAAGAGGCUAAGGCCCUCUGUGGCCCAACGGUUGGCAAGAAAGGUGAAGGAGAGAGUGGGGAUUUCUCCCCGAAAGAGCAGGAGGAGGGCAGUCAUUGUCCUGAAAAAACUAGAGUAGUUCAGUUCAGUUAUAUAUAUUUAUUAUUCGUGUUGUGUUUCAGUUCUAUAUAUUUAUUCAUGUUAUGUUUAAGUUCUUAAUAUUUAUUCAUGUUCCGUGUUUUAGUUAUAUAUAUUUAUUCAUGUUAUGUUCAAGUUCUUAAUAUUUAUUCAUGUUCCGUGUUUUAGUUAUAUAUAUAUUCAUGUUGUGUUUUAGUUAUAUAUAUAUAUAUAUGUAUUCAUGUUCCUUGUUCUGUUUCAAUAAAAAAAACAUUUGGAA
This is a long non-coding RNA of Gadus morhua (Atlantic cod), 2187 nucleotides long. The record is from Ensembl. Lineage: Eukaryota; Metazoa; Chordata; Actinopteri; Gadiformes; Gadidae.